This 1284-nucleotide ribosomal RNA is filed under the name Triticum aestivum (bread wheat). RNAcentral's name for it is "partial small subunit ribosomal RNA". Lineage: Eukaryota; Viridiplantae; Streptophyta; Magnoliopsida; Poales; Poaceae. The record is from RNAcentral.
AUGAAAACACACAUUCAAUACUAUGUACGUUGCUGCCCUACUUGCCAACAGGCCAAGCCAGACCGAGCCGCUUACCCUGGACUGCUCGAACCCUUGCCGGUGCCCAACGAAUCCUCGGAGAUGAUCACAAUGGAUUUUAUCGACGGACUCCCAACUUCUGGAGGUGUGAACUGCAUUCUGGUAAUCAUCGACAAGCUGACAAAAUUUGCUCACUUUCUGCCCCUAGCACACCCUUAUACAGCCUCCAAAGUAGCACUGCUAUACAUGAACCAAGUCUACCGGCUACAUGGAUUUCCAGGGUCGAUUGUGCCUGACCGUGAUCUGGUAUUUACAAGUCAUUUCUGGCAAGAACUCUUCAAGUAUGCAGGCACGGGUCUCAGAAUGAGUUCAGCCAACCACCCGCAGACGGAUGGCCAGACGGAGAGGGUUAACCAGUGCCUGGAAACCUUCCUCAGCUACUUCACGCAGGCGUGUCCCCGUCGAUGGAGCUACUGGAUUCCACUUGCCCAAUUCUGGUACAACUCUUCCCAUCAUUCUGCCAUUGGGAUGUCACCAUUUCGUGCCAUGUAUGGACAUGAACCACGACAAUGGGGGAUUACUUCAACGACCGCUUGUUCAGUUCCGGCCCUUCGUUCUUGGCUGGAUGAACGCGUUGUUGUGCAAGACCUGCUCCAACAGCAUCUUCACCGAGCGAGGCAGUGCAUGAAGCAACAAGCUGACAAAAAACGAUCAUUCCGAGCCUUUGAGGUGGGCGACUCAGUUUAUCUUAAGCUGCAACCUUAUAUCCAAACUUCAGUGGCUUCCCGCGCCUGUCACAAGCUGGCCUUCCAUUUCUUUGGGCCCUUCAAGAUUACUGGGCGGGUCAACGAGGUGGCCUACAAGCUUCAUCCGCCACCCCAGGCGCAAGUGCACCCCGUUUUUCAUGUAUCUCAGCUCAAGCGAGCACUUGGCCCAGGUAUGACAGCUUCCAGUGAGCUCCCAACUUAUCCUGACAUACCUUCAGUGCCAAUGGCAGUCCUUGAACGUCGCUGGCGCAAACGGCGCGGGGCUAUGGUGGAACAAGUGCUGGUCCGGUGGUCCAACCCAGCAGCAGUGGCUGAUUCAUGGGAGGACAAAAUGGCUCUGCAAGCUCGAUUCCCAGCCGCUGAAGCUUGGGGACAAGCUUCUGCUCAAGAAGGGGGGAUGUCAGCACACCUGACAUGGCGGCCCCGCCACGCAGCGACCCCAACGGCUCGCCCACGCCACCAAGACUGCCGCGGGCUCGCAAGAGCAACCCUCGAGUGA